GGGUAAGUAGCUCAGGUGGUUAGAGCGCAUCCCUGAUAAGGAUGAGGUCGGAGGUUCGAGUCCUCCCUUACCCACCA
This 77-nucleotide transfer RNA is filed under the name Candidatus Uhrbacteria bacterium CG_4_9_14_3_um_filter_36_7. Its description in RNAcentral is "tRNA-Ile". It matches the Rfam family "tRNA". From Rfam's summary of the family: Transfer RNA (tRNA) molecules are approximately 80 nucleotides in length. Their secondary structure includes four short double-helical elements and three loops (D, anti-codon, and T loops). Further hydrogen bonds mediate the characteristic L-shaped molecular structure. tRNAs have two regions of fundamental functional importance: the anti-codon, which is responsible for specific mRNA codon recognition, and the 3' end, to which the tRNAs corresponding amino acid is attached (by aminoacyl-tRNA synthetases). tRNAs cope with the degeneracy of the genetic code in two manners: having more than one tRNA (with a specific anti-codon) for a particular amino acid; and 'wobble' base-pairing, i.e. permitting non-standard base-pairing at the 3rd anti-codon position. Lineage: Bacteria; Candidatus Uhriibacteriota. The record is from RNAcentral.